UCCUGGGUCCUCCGCGGAGGUUCCAACUACGUCGACGCGGCUGCAGAUGCUGACGCCACCUUCCUGGGACCUGCAAGACCGGUUUGGGGACCGGAGAUUGUGCUCCCACGGUAUUUUCAUCCUCUGCUGUCUCAGACUGAUUAAUAAGGCCCGAGAAUCCCACGGCAGCCGCCACACCAAGGAGAGUUCCCCAUCCACUCACCCAGGUCAGCUCUGGGCUUCUCUCUGACCAGCAACCAAGGCUCAACUACAAGAUGAAUUGUACUCAGCCACACAAACAGUGCACCUGGAGUACCCAACUUGGAUGAUAGGGAAGACUGUGCCACUGGACCCUACAGGAC
Long non-coding RNA from Phyllostomus hastatus (greater spear-nosed bat), 341 nucleotides. RefSeq lists it as uncharacterized. The record is from RefSeq and is a predicted model, not a curated record. Lineage: Eukaryota; Metazoa; Chordata; Mammalia; Chiroptera; Phyllostomidae. The transcript is spliced from 3 exons.